UACAGAGGUGGCAAGCGUUGUUCGGAAUUACUGGGCGUAAAGGGCGCGUAGGUGGUGGCUUAAGCGUGCGGUGAAAGCUCGGGGCUCAACUCCGAGUCGGCCGUGCGAACUGGGCUCACUGGAGCAUAGUAGAGGCAGGUGGAAUCCCGGGUGUAGCGGUGGAAUGCGUAGAGAUCCGGAAGAACACCGGUGGCGAAGGCGGCCUGCUGGGCUAUGGCUGACACUGAGGCGCGACAGCGUGGGGAGCAAACAGG
Molecule: ribosomal RNA, 254 nt
Filed under: uncultured bacterium
Lineage: Bacteria
Description: partial 16S ribosomal RNA
Rfam family: Bacterial small subunit ribosomal RNA
Source: RNAcentral